This 83-nucleotide transfer RNA is filed under the name candidate division WOR-1 bacterium RIFOXYA12_FULL_52_29. Its description in RNAcentral is "tRNA-Tyr". It matches the Rfam family "tRNA". From Rfam's summary of the family: Transfer RNA (tRNA) molecules are approximately 80 nucleotides in length. Their secondary structure includes four short double-helical elements and three loops (D, anti-codon, and T loops). Further hydrogen bonds mediate the characteristic L-shaped molecular structure. tRNAs have two regions of fundamental functional importance: the anti-codon, which is responsible for specific mRNA codon recognition, and the 3' end, to which the tRNAs corresponding amino acid is attached (by aminoacyl-tRNA synthetases). tRNAs cope with the degeneracy of the genetic code in two manners: having more than one tRNA (with a specific anti-codon) for a particular amino acid; and 'wobble' base-pairing, i.e. permitting non-standard base-pairing at the 3rd anti-codon position. Lineage: Bacteria; Bacillati. The record is from RNAcentral. RNAcentral also lists the same sequence under 5 other names.
GGAGAGGUAGCGAAGUGGUCAAACGCAUCUGACUGUAAAUCAGACGGCUAACGCCUUCGAAGGUUCAAAUCCUUCCCUCUCCA